This 398-nucleotide long non-coding RNA is filed under the name Rosa chinensis. RNAcentral describes it as "sRNA RchiOBHm_Chr6g0275021". The record is from RNAcentral. Lineage: Eukaryota; Viridiplantae; Streptophyta; Magnoliopsida; Rosales; Rosaceae.
GUUAGAGUAUCUGAUAUCUCAGAGUAUCUUUUUUUUUUUUUGCUGUGAUUGUAGACAUCUUGGAGAUAACUUAGGUAGCAAAUUAGUGUUGCUUUAAGUCCUACUAACACAUCAAUUGUACAAUGGAACGGAUGUUGACAAGAAGAGGAAAUCAUCAAUGGCAAGUCAGCCACAACCAGACUCUCAGCCACGCACUAUGGGGUAAAAGACAAAUGGCAGAAUGGGAGUUUUUAUGUGAUUAGUUAUUUACGAGGAGAGGAUUAUCAUGUAUAUUAGUUAUUACCUGAUAUAUAGCAUAGCAGCAAACAUUUGAACAUAUAUAUAUUUGCAUUUUUAUAAACUCAUGUUAGCUGGUGUAGUGGAAAAAAAUUGAUAUUAUGCCUUUGUUUAUCACUAGC